UAGUCGUUAGCUCAGUCGGUAGAACAGUUGACUCUUAAUCAAUGGGUUGCAGGUUCGAGCCGAGCAGAAUUUU
Molecule: transfer RNA, 73 nt
Filed under: Photorhabdus asymbiotica
Lineage: Bacteria; Pseudomonadati; Pseudomonadota; Gammaproteobacteria; Enterobacterales; Morganellaceae
Description: transfer RNA-Lys
Source: RNAcentral